This 433-nucleotide ribosomal RNA is filed under the name uncultured bacterium. RNAcentral describes it as "partial 16S ribosomal RNA". It matches the Rfam family "Bacterial small subunit ribosomal RNA", at positions 29 to 507 of the family's 1533-position model. The record is from RNAcentral.
AACGAACGCUGGCGGCAUGCCUAACACAUGCAAGUCGAACGAGACCUUCGGGUCUAGUGGCGCACGGGUGCGUACCGCGUGGGAACCUGCACUUAGGUUCGGUAUAACUCACCGAGAGGGGUGCUAAUACCGGAUAAUGUCUUCGGACCAAAGAUUUCUCGCCUUUGGAUGGGCGCGCGUUGGAUUAGCUAGUUGGUAGGGUAAAAGCCUACCAAGGGGACGAUCCAUAGCUGGUCUGAUAGGAUGCCCAGCCACACUGGGCCUGCGACACGGCCUAGUCCCGGACGGGGAGCAGCAGUAUGGUAUAUUGGGCACGGAACCCAAGCCCGAUCCAGCAACGCCGCGGGUGUGAGCAAUGGGUUAGUGUUGCAAAUCCCUUUUUCCCGGGAUGAUAAUGACAGUACUGGGUGAAUAAGCUCCGGCUAACUCCGUG